CCUACGGGAGGCAGCAGUGAGGAAUAUUGGUCAAUGGACGCAAGUCUGAACCAGCCAUGCCGCGUGCAGGAAGACGGCUCUAUGAGUUGUAAACUGCUUUUGUACGAGGGUAAACGCGGAUACGCGUAUCUGUCUGAAAGUAUCGUACGAAUAAGGAUCGGCUAACUCCGUGCCAGCAGCCGCGGUAAUACGGAGGAUUCAAGCGUUAUCCGGAUUUAUUGGGUUUAAAGGGUGCGUAGGCGGUCGGAUAAGUUAGAGGUGAAAUCCCGAGGCUCAACUUCGGAAUUGCCUCUGAUACUGUCCGGCUAGAGAGUAGUUGCGGGAGGCGGAAGGUAUGGUGUAGCGGUGAAAUGCUUAGAGAUCAUACAGAACACCGAUUGCGAAGGCAGCUUACCAAGCUACUUCUGACGUUGAGGCACGAAAGCGUGGGGAGCAAACAGGAUUAGAUACCCUUGUAGUC
RNAcentral lists this ribosomal RNA (460 nucleotides) under uncultured bacterium. RNAcentral describes it as "partial 16S ribosomal RNA". It matches the Rfam family "Bacterial small subunit ribosomal RNA", at positions 338 to 795 of the family's 1533-position model. The record is from RNAcentral.